AGUUAUUCUUUUCCUCCAUGCUCCAUCCAUGUUGGAGUGCCAGAAACGAAACUCCCUUUAUGGAGAGCCUUCCCUUACUUUAGCGCGGAGACAUCCAAGUACACAUCCACGCGCAAAAUGACGCUGAUGCACACACUCUAUAGUCUAUGCUCUAUGCAUACAGAUAUAUCCUAACCAUAACAGCCGUCUCCUACACUAGCUAAGGUUACGGGAAUACCCACAACAAUGCUUUCCCCGUCACAAAUAUUGUACUGCGCUCAUGAGGUUUUGGAAUUUCCGUUUCAGGGCUGAGUAGCGCAUGGCUCGGGUAUAAAAGGUGGUCAGAGCCUCUGACACACCAGAAACAGCUCCUCCAUCGAGACAGCUGAACGUUCCCUUGCCCAAUACCAUGAAAGCACUGAACCUCCUGCUGGUGGUGGCCUUGGCCCUGACUGCGCUGGUGGUGGUGGAGGCCAUGCCUGGCCCCUUCCCCGACGCUGACCCCGAGGCCCUCGCCGACCCUGCCCCUUGGGGUGGAUACAGACGCUUUGGUGGCUUUGGGUUUGGCCGUGGCUUUGGAGGAGGAUAUGGAUAUGGGGGCUACUGGCGUUGAUUACCGCGGAAUAUACUGGCGAGGGAAGCAGGUGAGCUAAGAUAACCGCGGUGCCACUCACGCCACAACUCGGCUGUUUUCCCCUCGUGCCAGUCAAGUGCAGCGAGAGGCAGACUACCAUCACUGCCUCUGGUACGCUGCUAACAUCCUCGCCACCUCUGACUUCGCCGAUCUUUGACAUCUUCCCAAUAUUUGAAGAAAACUUGUCCUCUUCAGUGACUAACAUACAUAUACACUAAAUAUCAUUUUAUCGUAACUGGUUCAAAAUAAAAUGCACUCACUAGAU
Molecule: long non-coding RNA, 878 nt
Organism: Eriocheir sinensis (Chinese mitten crab)
Lineage: Eukaryota; Metazoa; Arthropoda; Malacostraca; Decapoda; Varunidae
Exons: 2
Source: RefSeq, a predicted model, not a curated record